CCGGCCCCACCCCCGAAAGUCCACCGUGCCUUUCAGAACGGGCGGCCGUUCUCCCCGAAUACGGUGGUGUUUGCUGGGGAGCAGCAAAAACAGACGGGCAGGCAGCCGCACCUCCGGGGGGGCUGGAAGCCGGACAGCGGGUGCUCCGCGCAGUGGGACCCCCGCACCGCCUUUGGGGUCGCGCCUGCGGGAGCACAUUCUCACCCCGGAGAGUGAGGUUACAGACUGGAGAAGAUUUUUAUCUGAGAAAACCUCAUUCAAGAUGAAGCUAUAAGAAGCGGCAUCUGCUAGCGGAGCCUCCAAGGUAGACCCAGGACCCCACUCUGGCUGUGCACAACGCUGAACAGAGGCAGUGCAUGAUUACAAAGGGAUGGUGACUGAAAGGUGCUUUUUCCACAUGAGUGCAAGAGGAGUAGACAGUUAAAAGAAGUGACUGCUGUGGAGGACAGCGUGACCACCAUGAGAGGAAGCUGCCUCCUCACACUGCUCUUGGCAGGACUUGGGGUUUUAGGAAUACUGGAGUCAACAACAACAGAAGACACCCACUGCCACAGAGCUGAGCACCCCAUUAUUGCAU
Molecule: long non-coding RNA, 577 nt
Organism: Malurus melanocephalus (red-backed fairy wren)
Lineage: Eukaryota; Metazoa; Chordata; Aves; Passeriformes; Maluridae
Exons: 4
Source: RefSeq, a predicted model, not a curated record